This 272-nucleotide ribosomal RNA is filed under the name uncultured bacterium. RNAcentral describes it as "partial small subunit ribosomal RNA". It matches the Rfam family "Bacterial small subunit ribosomal RNA", at positions 26 to 285 of the family's 1533-position model. The record is from RNAcentral.
AGAAUCAACGCUGGCGGCGUGCCUAACACAUGCAAGUCGAACGCGAAAGUCCCGCAAGGGAUAAGUAGAGUGGCAAACGGGUGAGUAACACGUGGGUGACCUGCCUUCGAGUGGGGGAUAACGUCCGAAAGGGACGCUAAUACCGCAUGACAUCCUGCUUUUUAAGAGGUGGAGAUCAAAGCUGGGGAUCGCAAGACCUAGCGCUUGAAGAGGGGCCCGCGCCUGAUUAGCUAGUUGGUGGGGUAAUGGCUCGACCAAGGCAACGAUCAGUA